RNAcentral lists this ribosomal RNA (253 nucleotides) under uncultured bacterium. RNAcentral describes it as "partial 16S ribosomal RNA". It matches the Rfam family "Bacterial small subunit ribosomal RNA", at positions 524 to 776 of the family's 1533-position model. The record is from RNAcentral.
UACGUAGGGUGCAAGCGUUAAUCGGAAUUACUGGGCGUAAAGCGUGCGCAGGCGGUUAUGGAAGACAGAUGUGAAAUCCCCGGGCUCAACCUGGGAACUGCAUUUGUGACUGCAUAGCUUGAGUGCGGCAGAGGGGGAUGGAAUUCCGCGUGUAGCAGUGAAAUGCGUAGAUAUGCGGAGGAACACCGAUGGCGAAGGCAAUCCCCUGGGCCUGCACUGACGCUCAUGCACGAAAGCGUGGGGAGCAAACAGG